GAAGUUGGAGUCGCUAGUAAUCGCAGAUCAGCAACGCUGCGGUGAAUACGUUCCCGGGCCUUGUACACACCGCUCGUCACGUCAUGAAAGUCGGUAACACCCGAAGCCGGUGGCCUAACCCCUCGUGGGAGGGAGCCGUCGAAGGUGGGAUUGGCGAUUGGGACGAAGUCGUAACAAGGUAGCCGUACCGGAAGGUGCGGCUGGAUCACUUCCUUU
Molecule: ribosomal RNA, 216 nt
Filed under: Nocardia otitidiscaviarum
Lineage: Bacteria; Bacillati; Actinomycetota; Actinomycetes; Mycobacteriales; Nocardiaceae
Description: partial 16S ribosomal RNA
Rfam family: Bacterial small subunit ribosomal RNA
Source: RNAcentral